RNAcentral lists this ribosomal RNA (790 nucleotides) under Bradyrhizobium japonicum. RNAcentral describes it as "bacterial SSU rRNA". It matches the Rfam family "Bacterial small subunit ribosomal RNA", at positions 70 to 887 of the family's 1533-position model. The record is from RNAcentral. Lineage: Bacteria; Pseudomonadati; Pseudomonadota; Alphaproteobacteria; Hyphomicrobiales; Nitrobacteraceae.
UUUUCAUAGCUCCAUUCUAAAGCAGAAUUGUCUGCGGCAGACCGAUGUCCCACGCGUUGACACGUACCUUUUGCUACGCACCAACUGAUGUACACUUCGGCUAAGACCGCAUAAACCCCUACCGAUAAAGAUUUAUCGCCGACAGAUCGGCCCGCCCCUGAUUAACUAAUAGGGGAUUUUAUGACUCACCAAGGCGACCAUCAUAACCUCGCCUUAGAGCAUGAUCUGCCACAUUGGGACUGACACACCCGCCAAACUCCUACGGAAGUGACCAGUGCCCAAUAUUGCACAAUGGUUACCAGCCUGAUCCACCCUUGACGGGUGAGUUAUGAAGGACCUACGGUUGUAAAGCUCUUUUCUCCGUGCAGAACAUGACCGUACCUCUAGAAUAAGCCCCUGCUAACUUCGUGCCAGCAGCCGCGUUCAUACCAAGCGAGCUAACGAAGUCCGUAACCACAGUCCGCAAAGGGUGUGUAGACGGCUCUUAAAGUCAUGCGCGAAAUCCUGGAGCUCAACUCCUGAACCGCCUUUGAUACUGAACACCUUCAGUUCCGUAGAGUUGAAUGCAACCGCCCGUGCUCACGAGACAUUCGUAUAUAUUCGCAAGAUCCCCCGCUGGUAAGGAGGCUCACUGGCCCCAUACUUACGCUGAAUCACGAAAGCUCUACCAGCAAAACGGAUCUAGUACCCUGGCAGCCCACGCCGUACACAAUGAAUGCCACCCGUUAGUGGGCCGACUCCCUAACGGGGCAGCUUUACCAUUAAAGCCUUCCUCCUGGGGAAUACUGGA